GACGAACGCUGGCGGCGUGCCUAAUACAUGCAAGUAGAACGCUGAAGAGAGGAGCUUGCUCUUCUUGGAUGAGUUGCGAACGGGUGAGUAACGCGUAGGUAACCUGCCUUGUAGCGGGGGAUAACUAUUGGAAACGAUAGCUAAUACCGCAUAACAAUGGAUGACACAUGUCAUUUAUUUGAAAGGGGCAAUUGCUCCACUACAAGAUGGACCUGCGUUGUAUUAGCUAGUAGGUAAGGUAAUGGCUCACCUAGGCGACGAUACAUAGCCGACCUGAGAGGGUGAUCGGCCACACUGGGACUGAGACACGGCCCAGACUCCUACGGGAGGCAGCAGUAGGGAAUCUUCGGCAAUGGGGCAACCCUGACCGAGCAACGCCGCGUGAGUGAAGAAGGUUUUCGGAUCGUAAAGCUCUGUUGUAAGUCAAGAACGGGUGUGAGAGUGGAAAGUUCACACUGUGACGGUAGCUUACCAGAAAGGGACGGCUAACUACGUG
RNAcentral lists this ribosomal RNA (496 nucleotides) under uncultured bacterium. Its description in RNAcentral is "partial 16S ribosomal RNA". It matches the Rfam family "Bacterial small subunit ribosomal RNA", at positions 28 to 507 of the family's 1533-position model. The record is from RNAcentral.